RNAcentral lists this ribosomal RNA (449 nucleotides) under uncultured bacterium. RNAcentral describes it as "partial 16S ribosomal RNA". It matches the Rfam family "Bacterial small subunit ribosomal RNA", at positions 29 to 523 of the family's 1533-position model. The record is from RNAcentral.
AGCGAACGCUGGCGGCAGGCCUAACACAUGCAAGUCGAACGAAGUCUUCGGACUUAGUGGCGGACGGGUGAGCAACACGUGGGAACGUGCCUUUAGGUUCAGAAUAACUCAGGGAAACUUGUGCUAAUACCGAAUGUGCCCUUCGGGGGAAAGAUUUAUCGCCUUUAGAGCGGCCCGCGUCUGUUUAGCUAGUUGGUGAGGUAAAGGCUCACCAAGGCGACGAUCAGUAGCUGGUCUGAGAGGAUGAUCAGCCACAUUGGGACUGAGACACGGCCCAAACUCCUACGGGAGGCAGCAGUGGGGAAUCUUGCGCAAUGGGCGAAAGCCUGACGCAGCCAUGCCGCGUGAAUGAUGAAGGUCUUAGGAUUGUAAAAUUCUUUCACCGGGGACGAUAAUGACGGUACCCGGAGAAGAAGCCCCGGCUAACUUCGUGCCAGCCGCCGCCGUAA